RNAcentral lists this ribosomal RNA (253 nucleotides) under uncultured bacterium. Its description in RNAcentral is "partial 16S ribosomal RNA". It matches the Rfam family "Bacterial small subunit ribosomal RNA", at positions 524 to 776 of the family's 1533-position model. The record is from RNAcentral.
UACGAAGGGGGCUAGCGUUGCUCGGAAUUACUGGGCGUAAAGGGCGCGUAGGCGGACAGUUAAGUCAGAGGUGAAAGCCCAGGGCUCAACCCCGGAAUAGCCGUUGAUACUGGCUGUCUUGAGUGCGGGAGAGGUGUGUGGAACUCCGAGUGUAGAGGUGAAAUUCGUAGAUAUUCGGAAGAACACCAGUGGCGAAGGCGACACACUGGCCCGUAACUGACGCUGAGGCGCGAAAGCGUGGGGAGCGAACAGG